UAUGAGUCGGGUUCGGUCAGUGGCAAUGGGGACGUCAUCCCGAGCCUGUUUGGGAAUCUUCUUAGGCUCUCUGGAUGCAACUCCGAUGUCCAUGUCCUGGUUCAUGAAGAUCCUAGAAUCUCUGGCCAUGGCUGGGUUGCUGAGAGCGGUUCUGCAUCAGUCUCGUGCCGUGGCACUUCGGGGAUGCCGGGCGGUGACCGCACCGAGAGGCGGGGAGCGCAGCUGCUGGAGAAGCGGCCGAUCCAUGCCAUCACCAGCAAGCCGUGGUGGUCUUCUGAUCCCG
Molecule: long non-coding RNA, 283 nt
Filed under: Gallus gallus (chicken)
Lineage: Eukaryota; Metazoa; Chordata; Aves; Galliformes; Phasianidae
Source: RNAcentral